RNAcentral lists this ribosomal RNA (492 nucleotides) under uncultured bacterium. Its description in RNAcentral is "partial 16S ribosomal RNA". It matches the Rfam family "Bacterial small subunit ribosomal RNA", at positions 29 to 507 of the family's 1533-position model. The record is from RNAcentral.
AGUGAACGCUGGCGGUAGGCCUAACACAUGCAAGUCGAACGGCAGCACAGUAAGAGCUUGCUCUUACGGGUGGCGAGUGGCGGACGGGUGAGGAAUACAUCGGAAUCUACUUUUUCGUGGGGGAUAACGUAGGGAAACUUACGCUAAUACCGCAUACUACCUACGGGUGAAAGCAGGGGAUCUUCGGACCUUGCGCGCUUGUAUGAGCCGAUGUCGGAUUAGCUAGUUGGCGGGGUAAAGGCCCACCAAGGCGACGAUCCGUAGCUGGUCUGAGAGGAUGAGCAGCCACACUGGAACUGAGACACGGUCCAGACUCCUACGGGAGGCAGCAGUGGGGAAUAUUGGACAAUGGGCGCAAGCCUGAUCCAGCAAUACCGCGUGGGUGAAGAAGGCCUUCGGGUUGUAAAGCCCUUUUGUUGGGAAAGAAAAGCAGCAGGUUAAUACCCCGCUGUUCUGACGGUACCCAAAGAAUAAGCACCGGCUAACUACGUG